Molecule: ribosomal RNA, 245 nt
Filed under: uncultured Actinomycetes bacterium
Lineage: Bacteria; Bacillati; Actinomycetota; Actinomycetes
Description: uncultured actinobacterium partial 16S ribosomal RNA
Rfam family: Bacterial small subunit ribosomal RNA
Source: RNAcentral
GACGAACGCUGGCGGCGUGCUCAACACAUGCAAGUCGAGCGGUAAGGCCCUUCGGGGUACACGAGCGGCGAACGGGUGAGUAACACGUGGGUGACCUGCCUCUAGCUCUGGGAUAAGCCUGGGAAACUGGGUCUAAUACCGGAUAUGACUCCACGGCGCAUGUUGUGGGGUGGAAAGCCUUGUGUGGCUAGAGAUGGGCCCGCGGCCUAUCAGCUUGUUGGUGGGGUGAUGGCCUACCAAGGCGA